UACGAAGGGGGCUAGCGUUGUUCGGAAUUACUGGGCGUAAAGCGCGCGCAGGCGGUCCUUCAAGUCAGAGGUGAAAGCCCAGAGCUCAACUCUGGAAUGGCCUUUGAGACUAGAGGACUUGGGUACGGGAGAGGUGAGUGGAAUUCCGAGUGUAGAGGUGAAAUUCGUAGAUAUUCGGAAGAACACCAGUGGCGAGGGCGGCUCACUGGCCCGUUACAGACGCUCAGGCGCGACAGCGUGGGGAGCAAACAGG
RNAcentral lists this ribosomal RNA (253 nucleotides) under uncultured bacterium. Its description in RNAcentral is "partial 16S ribosomal RNA". It matches the Rfam family "Bacterial small subunit ribosomal RNA", at positions 524 to 776 of the family's 1533-position model. The record is from RNAcentral.